RNAcentral lists this ribosomal RNA (407 nucleotides) under uncultured bacterium. Its description in RNAcentral is "bacterial SSU rRNA". It matches the Rfam family "Bacterial small subunit ribosomal RNA", at positions 509 to 916 of the family's 1533-position model. The record is from RNAcentral.
CAGCCGCCGCGGUAAUUCGUAGGGUGCAAGCGUUAAUCGGAAUUACUGGGCGUAAAGCGUGCGCAGGCGGUUAUGCAAGACAGAUGUGAAAUCCCCGGGCUCAACCUGGGAACUGCAUUUGUGACUGUAUAGCUAGAGUACGGUAGAGGGGGAUGGAAUUCCGCGUGUAGCAGUGAAAUGCGUAGAUAUGUGGAAGAACACCGAUGGCGAAGGCAGCCCCCUGGGAUGAGACUGACGCUCAUGCACGAAAGCGUGGGGAGCAAACAGGAUUAGAUACCCUGGUAGUCCACGCCCUAAACGAUGUCUACUAGUUGUCGGAGGGUAACUCCUUCGGUAACGCAGCUAACGCGUGAAGUAGACCGCCUGGGGAGUACGGUCGCAAGAUUAAAACUUAAAGGAAUUGACGG